UAAAGUUAAACCUUGUUUGUUUGGCCCAAGUGUACCUAUGAGUUUGACAUCCCUGAUCUACACUCACUGCAAUCUGGUUUCAUUUCACGCUAGAUGGCUCUUCUGUGAAUAACACAUUGGAUCUCUUUCGGAAGACAGUGGCUGAUGCUUAUUGCAUCGAAAAGUACGUAGAGAGCAGAUAAUUUUUUCAGAUGUUAGCCUUAAUGCGUUGACAAGACACAAGGUAUUGGGAUAAAUUAAAAUCCAGUAUAUUCAACAUUGUUAGCCAAGCAACAUCUCCAGAAAGAAUAAAAUGAAACGAAAGAGACUAUGAAUAAAUAGAGAUUGCAGUGAAAAGAAAAAUAAAGUGAAAGAAACCGAUAUGAGCUUUUUUGUGCUGAAACACAUUGAAAGAAUAAUGAACAAUAGAGGCUGUUGUGGCACUGAACCUGAAACAAACCUGGAGUAACCUGAAACAACCUGAAAAAUAUCUUAAUGAAAGUGAACUGAGAUUGCGCAAUAGAGAAAAUGCUAGUUAAUAAACAGUUGGUGGUA
This 534-nucleotide long non-coding RNA is filed under the name Stegodyphus dumicola. RNAcentral's name for it is "uncharacterized LOC118181451, transcript variant X1". Lineage: Eukaryota; Metazoa; Arthropoda; Arachnida; Araneae; Eresidae. The record is from RNAcentral.